UGGGAGGUGAUCAUCUGGACAUUUGCAGAGCGAGUGAAUGUAUAAAACGUAGAAAAAGAAAUCAGAUGCUCUCAUAAUCAGCCUAAUCCUUUCUUGAAGUCGCUAAUAUGCAAAUUAUCAUUGCCUUUUAUAAUUUGUUUAGCUCUUCACCCAACAAUGUUUAUAAUAGUAGAGGCAGCCAACCUCCACGCCAUUUUGCUUACUGGUCCAUGGCCACCUC
RNAcentral lists this long non-coding RNA (220 nucleotides) under Elaeis guineensis (African oil palm). Its description in RNAcentral is "long non-coding RNA (EGUI_LNC023880)". The record is from RNAcentral. Lineage: Eukaryota; Viridiplantae; Streptophyta; Magnoliopsida; Arecales; Arecaceae.